UGGGGAAUAUUGGACAAUGGGCGAAAGCCUGAUCCAGCCAUGCCGCGUGUGUGAAGAAGGUCUUCGGAUUGUAAAGCACUUUAAGUUGGGAGGAAGGGCAGUAAGUUAAUACCUUGCUGUUUUGACGUUACCGACAGAAUAAGCACCGGCUAACUUCGUGCCAGCAGCCGCGGUAAUACGAAGGGUGCAAGCGUUAAUCGGAAUUACUGGGCGUAAAGCGCGCGUAGGUGGUUCGUUAAGUUGGAUGUGAAAGCCCCGGGCUCAACCUGGGAACUGCAUCCAAAACUGGCGAGCUAGAGUAUGGCAGAGGGUGGUGGAAUUUCCUGUGUAGCGGUGAAAUGCGUAGAUAUUACUUAGAACACCAAUUGCGAAGGCAGGUUACCAA
RNAcentral lists this ribosomal RNA (385 nucleotides) under uncultured bacterium. RNAcentral's name for it is "bacterial SSU rRNA". It matches the Rfam family "Bacterial small subunit ribosomal RNA", at positions 355 to 731 of the family's 1533-position model. The record is from RNAcentral.